GAUGAACGCUGGCGGCGUGCCUAAUACAUACAAGUCGAGCGAACAGACGAGGAGCUUGCUCCUCUGACGUUAGCGGCGGACGGGUGAGUAACACGUGGAUAACCUACCUAUAAGACUGGGAUAACUUCGGGAAACCGGAGCUAAUACCGGAUAAUAUAUUGAACCGCAUGGUUCAAUAGUGAAAGACGGUUUUGCUGUCACUUAUAGAUGGAUCCGCGCCGCAUUAGCUAGUUGGUAAGGUAACGGCUUACCAAGGCAACGAUGCGUAGCCGACCUGAGAGGGUGAUCGGCCACACUGGAACUGAGACACGGUCCAGUCUCCUACGGGAGGCAGCAGUAGGGAAUCUUCCGCAAUGGGCGAAAGCCUGACGGAGCAACGCCGCGUGAGUGAUGAAGGUCUUCGGAUCGUAAAACUCUGUUAUUAGGGAAGAACAAAUGUGUAAGUAACUAUGCACGUCUUGACGGUACCUAAUCAGAAAGCCACGGCUAACUACGUG
RNAcentral lists this ribosomal RNA (497 nucleotides) under uncultured bacterium. RNAcentral's name for it is "partial 16S ribosomal RNA". It matches the Rfam family "Bacterial small subunit ribosomal RNA", at positions 28 to 507 of the family's 1533-position model. The record is from RNAcentral.